CUCUUAUGGGAUAAGAGAAAAAGAACCACUGAGAUACUUAUCCUUGUACACAUUUGAUGUGUGGAGCCCAUAUGAUGUGCUAACCAAGGAGUUGUCUCUACUUCGUUACCUUUAUCGAUGAUAAGUCAUGGUAUGGAUAUGUAUAUGAGAUAUGGCAUAUUUUCAUAUUGGAUGCCUCUUAGUAAAUCUCAGCCCCAUA
Molecule: long non-coding RNA, 199 nt
Filed under: Elaeis guineensis (African oil palm)
Lineage: Eukaryota; Viridiplantae; Streptophyta; Magnoliopsida; Arecales; Arecaceae
Description: long non-coding RNA (EGUI_LNC056715)
Source: RNAcentral